AGUACCAUUCAAAGAGCUAUGA
Molecule: microRNA, 22 nt
Filed under: Columba livia (rock pigeon)
Lineage: Eukaryota; Metazoa; Chordata; Aves; Columbiformes; Columbidae
Also listed under: 1 other name
Description: Cli-Mir-458-as_5p* (star (passenger))
Source: RNAcentral